GUUUUAAAUAAUUGAUGAUGUUUCCUGUUUCUACUUACAUUAAUUGCUCUCAGGUGCUGGAGAAUUGCUCAGUGAGUUGCCUUUUAAUUUAGUUCUUUAGAAAAGCAGCAUGCUGCAUUUUGGAAUACUGUAAGUAAUGUGUACCAGGCAGUACUUUCUAACUGGAGGUUAAUAAGGGUGUACUGAAUGUCUGCUUGGGUGCUAUUGCCUCUCCUCAUGUGAAUGUGUAUGCGCAUGUGUGAAAAGAGAGGAGGAUGAGGUGGAAGACUGCAAGCAGUAAACAGCCUCAGGCCCAAGCUUCCACUGAAUCUAAACUUCCUGGCCAUCUCUGGAUUGGUCUUUGGAUUUCAGCUGGAGUCUGGAGUGACAUGAACCAACUGAUUUAUCGGUCGGUGAAAGCCAAGUGCAGGUGGGGGGUGACUUGCACUCCAUCCCUGUGCUACCAGGCAGUCUGGAAAUUGUUCUUUGCUAAAAAUGCAACCAGUCUGACUGGUGACAGAGGGAGUGAUCACUCUAGACUCUGGUGUGUUUUGGUCACACAUUCAAGGCCAAAUCAAAGGCCAAUCAAGACUCAGAGAAAACCAUUGUCCAUAAUCUGUGAAGUCUACAUUUGGAAGCUCAGAAAUUUAAUGUGACUAUGAAUAAGGUUAUUGUUCUGCCUGAAGUUACACAAAUCCUUGUACUAUUAUAUCAGCAGUUUGGGAUAAAGAAUUGUAUGAAUUUGUAAUAUCAACAUAUUUAAUGUUCUCCUCGACUACUGGGUGUAAUGUAAAUUCAAUGUGCAAUAUGGCAAGGUUGUGAUACUUUUUAUUGUCUGAAAGUAUUGGUUGCCACUUGUGUCUCUUUUACCCAUAUGCUGCAUAUUACUGGUAAUGGGAAUUAUGAUUGAAAGCAAAUUUAUCCCUCAGUGGUUUUAGCCUUGUGCCAGCUGUAGAUAAUAAGAAAGUUUCUUUUGACUUCAAAAGGACAAGAAUCACUGUCAAAUGCAGGAAACAAA
RNAcentral lists this long non-coding RNA (997 nucleotides) under Anas platyrhynchos platyrhynchos (common mallard). RNAcentral's name for it is "lncRNA (ENSAPLG00000025319.1)". The record is from RNAcentral. Lineage: Eukaryota; Metazoa; Chordata; Aves; Anseriformes; Anatidae.